ACGCACGCUGGCGGCGCGCCUAACCCAUGCCAGUCGAACGAGCGAGAGAGAGCUUGCUUUCUCAAGCGAGUGGCGAACGGGUGAGUAACGCGUGAGGAACCUGCCUCAAAGAGGGGGACAACAGUUGGAAACGACUGCUAAUACCGCAUAAGCCCACAGGUCGGCAUCGACCAGAGGGAAAAGGAGCAAUCCGCUUUGAGAUGGCCUCGCGUCCGAUUAGCUAGUUGGUGAGGUAACGGCCCACCAAGGCAACGAUCGGUAGCCGGACUGAGAGGUUGAACGGCCACAUUGGGACUGAGACACGGCCCAGACUCCUACGGGAGGCAGCAGUGGGGAAUAUUGCACAAUGGGGGAAACCCUGAUGCAGCGACGCCGGGUGGAGGAAGAAGGUCUUCGGAUUGUAAACUCCUGUUGUUGAGGAAGAUAAUGACGGUACUCAACAAGGAAGUGACGGCUAACUACGUG
Molecule: ribosomal RNA, 465 nt
Filed under: uncultured bacterium
Lineage: Bacteria
Description: partial 16S ribosomal RNA
Rfam family: Bacterial small subunit ribosomal RNA
Source: RNAcentral